GAAUGAACGUUGGCGGUGUGGAUUAGGCAUGCAAGUCGUGCGCGAAAUGUAGCAAUACAUGGAGAGCGGCGAAAGGGAGAGUAAUACAUAGGUACCUACCCCCGGGUCUGGGAUAGCGGCGGGAAACUGCCGGUAAUACCAGAUAAUGCCUCCGGACCAAAGGUGUGAUUCCACCGUGGGGGAGGGGCCUGUGGCCUAUUAGCUUGUUGGCGAGGUAACGGCUCACCAAGGCAAAGANGGGUAUGGGGGCGUGAGAGCGUGCCCCCACUCACUGGGACUGAGAUACUG
RNAcentral lists this ribosomal RNA (288 nucleotides) under uncultured bacterium. RNAcentral's name for it is "partial 16S ribosomal RNA". It matches the Rfam family "Bacterial small subunit ribosomal RNA", at positions 27 to 329 of the family's 1533-position model. The record is from RNAcentral.